AACGGCCAUACCAUGCUGAAUAUACCGGUUCUCGUUAGAUCACCGAAGUCAAGCAUCAUUGGGCGCGGUCAGUACUUGGGUGGGUGACCACCUGGGAACACCGCUUGCCGU
Caerostris darwini is the source of this 111-nucleotide non-coding RNA. The record is from the annotation of a GenBank genome assembly. NCBI's taxonomy places the organism in Eukaryota, Metazoa, Arthropoda, Arachnida, Araneae, Araneidae.